This 565-nucleotide ribosomal RNA is filed under the name Salmonella enterica subsp. enterica serovar Typhimurium. RNAcentral describes it as "partial 23S ribosomal RNA". It matches the Rfam family "Bacterial large subunit ribosomal RNA", at positions 1 to 590 of the family's 2925-position model. Lineage: Bacteria; Pseudomonadati; Pseudomonadota; Gammaproteobacteria; Enterobacterales; Enterobacteriaceae. The record is from RNAcentral.
GGGUUGUGAGGUUAAGCGACUAAGCGUACACGGUGGAUGCCCUGGCAGUCAGAGGCGAUGAAGGACGUGCUAAUCUGCGAUAAGCGCCGGUAAGGUGAUAUGAACCGUUAUAACCGGCGAUUUCCGAAUGGGGAAACCCAGUGUGAUUCGUCACACCAUCAUUAACUGAAUCCAUAGGUUAAUGAGGCGAACCGGGGGAACUGAAACAUCUAAGUACCCCGAGGAAAAGAAAUCAACCGAGAUUCCCCCAGUAGCGGCGAGCGAACGGGGAGGAGCCCAGAGCCUGAAUCAGCAUGUGUGUUAGUGGAAGCGUCUGGAAAGGCGCGCGAUACAGGGUGACAGCCCCGUACACAAAAGCGCAUGUGCUGUGAGCUCGAUGAGUAGGGCGGGACACGUGGUAUCCUGUCUGAAUAUGGGGGGACCAUCCUCCAAGGCUAAAUACUCCUGACUGACCGAUAGUGAACCAGUACCGUGAGGGAAAGGCGAAAAGAACCCCGGCGAGGGGAGUGAAAAAGAACCUGAAACCGUGUACGUACAAGCAGUGGGAGCCCCACCACUAAGCCAG